This 484-nucleotide ribosomal RNA is filed under the name uncultured bacterium. RNAcentral describes it as "partial 16S ribosomal RNA". It matches the Rfam family "Bacterial small subunit ribosomal RNA", at positions 30 to 507 of the family's 1533-position model. The record is from RNAcentral.
AUUGAACGCUGGCGGCAGGCCUAACACAUGCAAGUCGAGCGGAUGAAGGGAGCUUGCUCCUGGAUUCAGCGGCGGACGGGUGAGUAAUGCCUAGGAAUCUGCCUGGUAGUGGGGGAUAACGUCCGGAAACGGGCGCUAAUACCGCAUACGUCCUGAGGGAGAAAGCGGGGGAUCUUCGGACCUCACGCUAUCAGAUGAGCCUAGGUCGGAUUAGCUAGUUGGUGGGGUAAAGGCCUACCAAGGCGACGAUCCGUAGCUGGUCUGAGAGGAUGAUCAGUCACACUGGAACUGAGACACGGUCCAGACUCCUACGGGAGGCAGCAGUGGGGAAUAUUGGACAAUGGGCGAAAGCCUGAUCCAGCCAUGCCGCGUGUGUGAAGAAGGUCUUCGGAUUGUAAAGCACUUUAAGUUGGGAGGAAGGGCAGUAAGUUAAUACCUUGCUGUUUUGACGUUACCAACAGAAUAAGCACCGGCUAACUUCGUG